GACGAACGCUGGCGGCGUGCCUAAUACAUGCAAGUAGAACGCACAGUUUAUACCGUAGCUUGCUACACCAUAAACUGUGAGUUGCGAACGGGUGAGUAACGCGUAGGUAACCUGCCUGGUAGCGGGGGAUAACUAUUGGAAACGAUAGCUAAUACCGCAUAAUAUUGAUUAUUGCAUGAUAAUUGAUUGAAAGAUGCUAUUGCAUCACUACCAGAUGGCCCUGCGUUGUAUUAGCUAGUAGGUGAGGUAACGGCUCACCUAGGCGACGAUACAUAGCCGACCUGAGAGGGUGAUCGGCCACACUGGGACUGGGACACGGCCCAGACUCCUGCGGGAGGCAGCAGUAGGGAAUCUUCGGCGAUGGACGAAAGUCUGACCGAGCAACGCCGCGUGAGUGAAGAAGGUUUUCGGAUCGUAAAGCUCUGUUGUAAGAGAAGAACGGGUGUGAGAGUGGAAAGUUCACACUGUGACGGUAUCUUACCAGAAAGGGACGGCUAACUACGUG
Molecule: ribosomal RNA, 505 nt
Filed under: uncultured bacterium
Lineage: Bacteria
Description: partial 16S ribosomal RNA
Rfam family: Bacterial small subunit ribosomal RNA
Source: RNAcentral